Non-coding RNA from Triticum aestivum (bread wheat), 115 nucleotides. The record is from Rfam. Lineage: Eukaryota; Viridiplantae; Streptophyta; Magnoliopsida; Poales; Poaceae.
GACAUACUCCCUCUAUUCGGAAUUACAUAUCACAGAAAUGGAUGUAUCUAGACGUAUUUUAGUUCUAGAUACAUCCAUAUCCGAGACAAGUAAUUCUGAACGGAGAGAGUACUUU